Molecule: long non-coding RNA, 252 nt
Filed under: Carica papaya (papaya)
Lineage: Eukaryota; Viridiplantae; Streptophyta; Magnoliopsida; Brassicales; Caricaceae
Description: long non-coding RNA (CPAP_LNC010975)
Source: RNAcentral
CCACUUCUGGCCUCAGUGAUGUAUGUAUUUAGAACAUUAUAUAUAUGUAUAUCUGUAAAGAAUUUGUUAACAUUUGAUUCUGCUGCAUAAAUAUUAUCAUGUACUUGUUAUUCUGAAUCUUUAUCUGACACCAAUCUACCUUAAUUGGCACCUAGGAUGUCACAUGACCCCUAACAGAUAUUUGCAUCACCGUUCUCGUCAGAGGGUACGUCGUCAUCCACAGGGAGUAGUCUUCUUACGUCUUUCUAGAGU